Molecule: RNA transcript, 3015 nt
Organism: Mauremys reevesii (Reeves's turtle)
Lineage: Eukaryota; Metazoa; Chordata; Testudines; Geoemydidae
Exons: 6
Source: RefSeq, a predicted model, not a curated record
UCUGCAUCUAUUAGCACAUGGCUGUGCUGCAGCUGCUACUGAGCUUUCCCUGUACUGGUCUUGUUUUGGGCUAGUAGCUUUGCAAAUUUGUGGACCCAUGAAUGAUGUCCUGAUUGUGGAGUUAGUGAAACUAGAUGUUGCUGUGUGAAUGUUUUAGUGCAGAUCACAUGCUGAAUUCUAAAAAUAUGCUCCAAGGAAGGAGGAAGUGAAAGGGAAAAUGAGUUUGUAAUCCUCUAAUUCUUUUAACACCCUUUUUUGUUAUGUUCAGCCAUCCCUUGCUUUGCUUUGUUUGAAUCAGGCUCCUAAGCAUUUUACAGCAAAGUUACUCACUCUGAGUUUUGGAUGAACCUCAGCUGGGAGAUGAUUCACUUACCCAAAGUAUAUGCUUCCCUACCAGUAUGUCUUUUGAGGAAUGUCAGUGCCUGAAAAACCUGUAGCAACACAAGAGAAGGUCAUGGAAACCCCAGUGACUUCCAGAUGCCCUGUGAAUGGGAAAACUUCAAGGGGAGACAGUCACACCUUUUCCCUACCCAAAGACUCCACAGCUUUUUUAAAAUGAGCAUAAAACUCAUUAUGGCACUGGCCUCUUAGCUUACUAAAUAGCAUCAGACUUAGACUUUAAACUCACAAAUUACUUUUAAAAAAAAAAACCUCAAUAUAACAUUGUUCGCUCAUUGGACCAUUAUACUGAAUCUCACACUACUGCCUUGUAAAGUAAUAUGGGUCUGCAUUGUAGUGGUCACCGUGGCCUUUCUGAUUGUGAAGAUAACUUUGAAAACAGAAACCAAACAUCAGCCAAAACAGGCUUACCUUCCACAUCUGCAAGCAGCCUGAAAAAAAGCUCCGAGAAUGUUAUGAAUGAGGUCAGGAGAUUGGACAAAACUGCCUCUGUUUCAUGAAUAGUUUUGGUUUAGAUUAAUCAGCAAAAAAAAAGUUUGUAAAAUUUCUAACCAGCUCUAUUCACAAUCAACAUGGAUUCAGGCACUCCACUUUGAAAUGUUGGCCUUUGUAUGUACUAUGAGCCCAGGGCCUCAGGUGAUGUAAAUUGGUACAGCUUUGUAGUUGAGAAUUGAGUCCUGUACAUUUUAGAGUUUUCCAUUUGUUGUAAGUUACUGGGGGGUGGGGGGGGAGAACUUCUAUAUUAAUUGAAUCCAAAAAUCUAUGUUCAAGAACAUUAAAGUGGCAAAGCCAAGCACUCAAGAGACACAAAAUGCCAGAAAUAAGGUUGCCCAUGAAACCUUAGUUCAGCCCUUUGGUACGUACAUAUUAUGAUACAGUCUUUUUGCACAGACCCCCUGCCUCAAAAUAUGCUACUGGAUGUUAUAAAAACCUGUAAAUGAAAUAGAACUAGAAUAAUCUCUAGAUCAGUGGUGGGCAACCUGCGGCCCAUUGGCUGCACAUGGCCUGUCAGGGGAAUCCACUGGUGGGCCGCAAGACUGUUUGUUUACAUUGACCAUCUGCAGGCAUGGCCGCCCGCAGCUCCCAGUGGCCGUGGAUUACCGUGACUGGCCGCAGGUCACCCAGCACUGCUCUAGAUAUUGACCCUAGCAGUUGAGUAUUUGAGCAGGUAACCUGAUAAAAUUUAAUCCUUUUGUAACUGGUGAAGUUGGUUAUUUAAAUUGGAUUUUUUUCUUUGUUUCAACAGUCAUUAAUGAGCAUUAUUUUAAUUAUAUUUUUUAUUAGGGUUUUCCCCCGUGGUAUCCAGGUCCUUCUGUUCCCAUAAUGCUGAAUGGCUCUUACAUGCUUCAUUCAAUGCAGAGAUGCCCAUGUACAAUUGUGCAACUCCUUUGCACCACACCAGUGGCACAAAGCAGCCAAAAAGCUGGUGGCUCACCCCAGCGUAGAAACAAAAUUCCAUGACAUACAGUAAGCAUAAUGUAGCCCUUAGGCCAACCAUAUCUAGUCUGAGGCCAGAGCCAGGAAAAAAAGAAUGCAGCUGGGUGUUUUUAUGAGCCACCAAUCUAUCAUGUUGACCUCUUGGGGUUACUGUCAGCUGAAGUAAUUCAGAGUAGCUUCACCAGGUUUUGGCUGGUAAUAGAGCCACCAUUGUACUAUGCCCUCCCUGAACUGUGAACUCCUUACCCAGAGCUGUGGAUUUAUGCAAGUACGUUAUUUUACUGGAAUGUCUUGUGUUUCUCAGUGCUUUGUGUAUUGCAUGUUUUUAUGAAUCAUUCUACUGAUCUUUGGAAAAACUGCUUAAGGCAUAAUUUUUUUUUUUUUAAAUUGAAGACUCCUGAUUAAAAAUCAGCAUAUAGAAAUAUCAAGCCCUAAGCGACAUGUUCCAGGUCCCACAGGAAGUCAAUGGUAGAGUUAGGAACUGAACCUACAUCUCCUGAUGCACAGUCCUGUGCCGUAACCACAAGUCCUUCCUUCCACUUCAUAAGCUGGCUAUUUACACGUCAAAUCUCUCUAAUUUACAAAGCUCUGGUGGCUAUCCAUCAUCAUGGUAACAGCAUUCAGGAUAUUGGACAACCAGCCGUGCAGAAGGUGAUGUGGAUCUGCAGGAUUGUUAGCCUUGUGCCUAACCCCCAACCUGGAGGACCAGGGUGUCUGUUUUGUCUGACCCCUCCCCACUGACCAAUCUGGCAUGAUUGACCCUACCAGGAGCAAAAAGCCCCUGCCGACACAGACUCUGGGGAUCGUUAGAGCAUGCAAGCUGUGCCGCCAUGACAAGGCACAGACACCAGAGGACAGGAAAGGUAUACAGUGACCGGCUAAAUGGUUUGGAAAAGGACUUAAAAUGAAGUUUUCAUUAAAGGAACGAAUGGGGGGCAGUUGGGGACUCGUGUGAUUGGUACGGCAGGAAGCCAACCCCCCAUUCUUAUAGCUCACCUUAACCCUUCUACGAGGAAGGGGUGGAUGGUAAGGUCCUGGCAAUGGAUUUGCCAGAGGGACAUGGAUGGAAAAAGAGAGGGAGCUGGUAAGAGCCCCCCAGGUAAUUAUGGAAUAAACAUGGGGUUACCUGCACUGUACACUGGUAUCUGCCGGGUAGUCCCAGACAUCUAAUAAUAAAGU